Molecule: long non-coding RNA, 4669 nt
Filed under: Neodiprion pinetum (white pine sawfly)
Lineage: Eukaryota; Metazoa; Arthropoda; Insecta; Hymenoptera; Diprionidae
Description: uncharacterized LOC124216348
Source: RNAcentral
UCCUCACAGACUUGAUCGUUGCGCAGAUUUUAGUAGUAUAUAGAUCUCGACAGUGGAGAAAAGGGAAAAAAGAGUCUUUUCGUGGUACCGAAGGACUGGAGAACAGGAUACUACAGAGUUUAUAUACAAGCUGCACGUUAUCCAGAGCCAGCCAACCGGCCAACCGAGUUUCAAACCGGGUAGCGGAACAGAACGGAAACGACUUCCUAGACAAUUGGGCUCCGUCGGGAUCGCUGGAGCAUGUAACGUUCUUCCGGUGCCAUAAUCGACUAAACACAGCUGAGGGCGACAGGUCAAGGAGAGACGACCAUCAACUGGCUCGAUGAAACGACUGUACACUCCUCGAAGUGCACACCACCGAAGCGUAAAAUCGUGAACCGUGAAAACGAUUGACGAGGGCUGGAGCAGGGUGAAGUCGAGAGAGGCUUCGCAGGCCGCAGACGGUUGUCCCGUAUCUGUACUCGAAAGUUUUCAUCAUGCCUGUUCCGACAAAAUUUCAAUUCUCAGGUUUUAGUUGCGACAACCGUUCCAACGUAAUGAAAAACAAAAAGAUGGCGCGCCGAAGGAGGCGAACGAGGGGCGGUAACGGCGUUGCAGCGGACCGUGAAUAAGGGAAUCGAGUAAAAUGAAAUUUGGCGGAAACGGAACUCAGCCGGCGCAGAAAAAGUGGAGACGAAAAGAAGGAGGGGAACCUCGUCAGUCAGUCACUCAGUAUGACUGUCUGCGUCUCUCUGUCUCUGCCUGCCUGUCUCUUCGAGCGCGUUACAAAGAGAUUGUACGCUGUACUCUAGUUGCGGGAUCCUGCAAUGUCGCUAUUACGUGUUCACCGGAUAAAUUGGAUGACAUCAGUUGCUACACACACACACACACACACACACAUAUAUAUAUAUAUGUAUAUGUAUAUAUAUAUACACACAUAUAUACAUAUACAUACGCUCGUAUGCUCGUAUACAACGGCGAACAGAAGCCGAGAACAGUCUUCACCGCGACGCAUCCCACAACACUCGAUUUUUACUCUUACGCCUGAAAUUUGCUUUUGACCUGGUAGCAAGGCUCUUGUUUUUUGAGAAUAUAAUAAAGUUAUUGUGUUCUGACAGCGGCGUCCGUCAACUCUCGAUGGAAUUCAACACCUACCGUACCUUUGUUUCACCCAAUUGUUGUAUCGGAUGAUAGACACAUCGCCGGAGGACGGGGACGCAGAGCGUUGCUGAGAAGGGAUCUUGCUCUUUUUCGCAAGAUAUAAAUUAUCUUAGGCACUUCAUACAUGCGAACCAGCGACCAUUGUGGUGCCCAUGCUGUGACGGUAGCCUUGUUGGAGAAGGCGUGUGAUAUAACGAUAGAUAGAUAGAUGCAUGAUUGAAUAAAAGAACUGGGCUAGUAUAAGGACGAUAUCUACUGCGGGCACGUGCAAUACCACGAAAAUAAACUGUUGGGACUCCAGAUACUAUUUUCUGUAAAUCAGUAGACUAUACAUUCUAUGAAAAUCGGUGUCGUAACGUGAGAAAUUGUACGAUAGUAACACGCGCGAACUAACGAAUAAUGCUUGAAAAUUCGACACUGAAUGGUAACAUGCUUGACUUAGAGUCCCUACAAAACGUAUGUUUUGUAGAUGUUUUAUAGAGAGUUUGACUGGACUGAUUCACAGAAGUCUCUGCAGCUGAAAAUUUCGAAACUUUAAAAAAUAUACUCUGAUCCGUAAUAAAAUCAAUUUAUUGCAACUCACCACUAGCGACCGUGUUUUCCAGCUGUUGAUCCUCGGAUAUUUUAGAGAUUUAUUUUUGGCAUUCCUGAGUGUCAAAUUAGCCAAGCGAGAGUUUAAAAUCGCAGAACAAGUAAAGCUACCCGCUUUGAAUUAUUUCAACUUAUUUUUUUACAGAUAUUCAAAGAUGAACUGCAACCAUCUUCGUCACAUGCUACAUCGACGUAAUUUCACGAGAGGAAGAAAUUGCGCGUAGUCUGAAGUCGCUACAAACAGCCGAUCCGUAAUUACAGCCAAAAAACGGUCAAUUUAUUUAGUAGUUCAUACCUUAUCUGAAUUCCAUGGGGUCUAAAUAAUCUAAAAAGAGUCUAGAAGAGUUAUUGGUUCCAUAAAAAAGGAAGGUUAACCUUUUCAACAAACAUUGAUUAAAGACUCAACACGUGUGCAGUAAUAGCAUUCAUCAAGGCAAGGUACCACACACAUACAAACAAAACACAAUCACACUAAUACACAAAACUGGCAGCAAAGGAGGCGUAACGAAAAGCCCAUCAAAAGUAACCUGGCUAAAAUUCUGGAACAAUAUACGAAAAAAAGACUGCAAGCAUUCACUGACAAACUUAUGUCAGGAAAGCAGUACGAAUUUCGACUGGAAAAAUGUACACAGGAUACGAUUCACCAACUAACGAACGAAAUACACGGAUCAAUAAACAACUAAAAGAAAUCUAUUGCAAUAAUCUUGGACCUUGCAAAGGCGUUUGACACGAGGUUGAAGUUAGUAACGUUAUCGUAACGAAACAUUGGGGGACAAAUCACUAUUUGCUUAAUUUUACAAUGAUUUUUAAGGAACUAAGAUUUCGAAAUGUGAGUGUGUUUUGUUUUAUUACGGUUUACUGAAUUACAGACAAUUCUAAAAUCGCGAAAUAACGGGGUUUCCUCAGCAUGAAAUGUUAAAAUAACGUUACUAACUUCAAUUGAAGUUUAACAGGGUUCCGUACAACCUACUCCUGGAUACAUUCGGAAGAGUAGGUAUCUGAGGCAAAGCGCAGAGCUGAUUCAAUGCAUAAGUCCGAAAGAGACAGCAACGAGCAAAGACGCGUGAAUCCAACUGCCGGCAAAUAGAAGUAACAUGUGGCAUUUCACAAGGAACCAUUCUAUCCGUGUUACUAUUUACAUUAUACUAUGACGAUACGCUAAGAUUCAACAUACAAUCCAGGAUAAUUUCAUACGCAGACAACAGUCUUAACUAUAACGACAAAUUCGUGGGAAGAUGCAUACUUAAAAGUAACCAGAGUGGCGGCAAUUUUUCUGAUUGUGAAAUGAAAAUUCCCCGAAUUUGCUUGUCAAAACAUUCGGAAUUCCCAGCAUGAUCUUUUUCGAUGAAAAUCAAGUAACGUUGAGCAGUUUUCAUUACCAAAAGCUCCAAAAAUUGUGCGUCUUUGAUAUAUAAAUUUGGAUUCAAAAACACAUAGUAUUUCGUUGUUUUACACAAAUAACUAGAAAUUGUACAAUACCAUUUCCGAAAGAUAGCUUAGCUGAAUAUACGAAACAUAGUUGAAGCUACAAAGAUGUUGAAGUUAGAAAACAAUUUGACAAAAAGUAUGUUUUUCCUGUGGUCCAUCAUAAUACCCUGAUUUUUCCCCGACUUUUCCCAAUAAACUCAAUUCCCUGACUAUUCCUGGUUUUCCCGGUCUGCCGCCACCCUAGCAACCCAAGACGACAACAUUAUCUAUCAACAUCCCAAUAUGAUAGAUUUCUCACAUUAAACCCAAAAAGGACAACCUACAUAGGCCGUGUUCGAAAAUUGACUGACAGUACUGUCAGCAAUCUUUUAUCUCUUUUGCCCUUCCAAGUUCGUGAAUAGCUCUGACUCUGUCCUAGGGAAUUUUGAGUACUGUCAGUCAAUUUACGAACACGGCCAUAGCAUUUAUAUCGAAAAAAUGGAAGAACAAGUACAAAAAAAUUCAACUACACACCUGCAACCGGACAGACUACAACCAAUUACGGACAAUGCGUUUCAGUAAAUAGAGUCACAGAACAAAAAUACCUGGGAUAAAAUUUCAAGAAUUUUUAAUGAAAUGAUGAAAUGGAAUACACGAGUAUCACAUACUGUAUAUAAAAAAAACUCGAAAAUCUAUUUCAUCCACUGAUAAAUAUAAGCCAAACCGUAAACAAAACCACAGAAAGAGAAAUCUACCAUGCUGUGGCACAGUCAAUAAUAUAAUACGGCAUCACUGCAUAGGGAACACGUAUAAAAAAACCUAUAUGAACUGGAUCAAGCACGAAAGGUCUGAUCAAGGCCACUCAACUUGGACCGAAGAUAUCCAACGGACAAAGUGUAUAAAGAAAACAAAAUACUGGAAGUACACCAAAAAUAUCUGAAAGAUAUAGCGAUCAAGCUUCAUAAAAAUUCAAAUGAAAUGGAAGAAAGAACAAGACAUGAAUAUCAACAAAGAACCAUGACAGCUGGAGCUCUACAUAUCGAUCGAGCGGUAUGGUGAACAUCAAGGAAAAAUCAUUGCAAGUAAAAUAUACAUAUAAUCUAUAACUAUCCCAACCUUCCCCUCUGCACGGAAAUUCCACAAUUUAUGUAGGGCCAUUCCAUGACAACGAGGAAAGAGACAAGAGAAAAAAAAUAUUCCGCAAUGAAUAAAAUAAAAACAUGAAGACCACACAAUAUCAUACAAUGUUGAACACUCACUUGUGAUUAUGAUUACAACACAUAUCAUAAUAACAUUAUACACUGAUGACAACUGAAUACUUUUAAUAGAAUAAGGAAUGUUGAAUAAACUAAACUAAAGUAAACUAACUAAUUUUUUGAAUUUUCUGUUAAGGACAACUGGAACUUUAAAUAUCACAUCGAACAGUAAAAAACACAUUUGACACUAUUAUGGAUAAGCCGUGAUUUUGUAAUAUUAUGCAAUAAAAUAUUUUCGAAAGAUAGUUUAAAUACUAUAUUGUUGACCACAAAAA